Molecule: transfer RNA, 72 nt
Filed under: Salipiger mucosus DSM 16094
Lineage: Bacteria; Pseudomonadati; Pseudomonadota; Alphaproteobacteria; Rhodobacterales; Roseobacteraceae
Rfam family: tRNA
About the family: Transfer RNA (tRNA) molecules are approximately 80 nucleotides in length. Their secondary structure includes four short double-helical elements and three loops (D, anti-codon, and T loops).
Source: Rfam by way of RNAcentral
UGGGGUGUAGCCAAGUGGUAAGGCAACGGUUUUUGGUACCGUGCACCGCAGGUUCGAAUCCUGCCACCCCAG